AGUGUUGCGCCGUAUCCAGACCGAGAAGGAGAACAAUACGUUAAUUAGGUGGCAGAUAUAUAUUGCAAGGCCAUUUUCAAGAGAAUAUUUGAAGAGAAGAGAAACUACAUCUUGUGAGACGCUGUCAGCUCAGCUGUUCUGCCGAUGAAAUGGGGAACGGCGUCGAAUAGGCGAUACUAAUUGUCACUGGAAUCAUUGACAGCUGACAGAUCAUCUUCACAGAGAUGCGAGGAGGAAGCAAAUGGUAACCGGAUCAUUGACACCCACAGCCAGACGACUUGGGGAACUUAUUCUCGUCCUGCAGAGGUAAAAACUAACAAUGGGCGUGUGUGGAGCUGACACCAUAAGGAACAUAGUACACCUGGGUGAUGGUUCUUACCUGUUUCUGCGGAUGAAACUUUUACUGGAGAAGGUGAGGUUGUGUUGGGGGACGCAUGACAUGCCGCUCCCCAUGAUGCCACUCUGUGUUUGUGUCGCUCUUCAGUAAAAACAAAGUGCAAUGGAUAAGAGUAGUCCUGUGGU
Molecule: long non-coding RNA, 522 nt
Organism: Nerophis lumbriciformis (worm pipefish)
Lineage: Eukaryota; Metazoa; Chordata; Actinopteri; Syngnathiformes; Syngnathidae
Source: RefSeq, a predicted model, not a curated record